Non-coding RNA from Labrus bergylta (ballan wrasse), 188 nucleotides. The record is from RefSeq and is a predicted model, not a curated record. NCBI's taxonomy places the organism in Eukaryota, Metazoa, Chordata, Actinopteri, Labriformes, Labridae.
CAUUGUCGCCUUCCUGGUGCUAGUAUGUGCUCUACUCUUUGUUAUCAGGGCUCAGAGGACUCAACACAACCUGCUUAAGAGUCAGGGUCAGGUAACGCCAGCACAGUUGCUAUGAGCCAACAUCUACCAAGUGGAAAAGGAGAUGAGGAACCCAACAAAACAAAUGAGGGCAUUUAUGCUAACACCAC